CCUGCUGCUCCCCUCCCCACAAUGGGCACGCCGCAGAGACACGCUCCCAGUCGGCAGUGCAGCAGCCGACUGCAGCCGGCCUGAGCCAUCGUAAGUGCCUCACCUGUGAUACAGUUUUGUUCCCACUAACGUCCUCUUGCUGCAUCCUGUCACCACAAGAUGAUACAACACUACAUAUCUAGACAAGUGAUGACAGCCACCAAAAUGAUUGUUCUGUUCCCCCAUCCUUUGCCUCAGACUUAAAAAUGGAUGAGAGUUAACUGGCUGAGACACAAUCCAGUCAAAACUUAAGAGCUGUUGGCUGGAAAUGGAAAGCACCCAAGAAGGGGAAGGGACUUGGGGGGCGCCUUCACCCAUUCUGCCGACUGGCGGUUCAUCCACUGUGCCCGGCUCAACUGUGUCCCACUCAACAAAGCUGUCCGCCCUGGGAACCGAGAAAAGUGUUGCAGAAAGUGCGGCUACUCCAACAACACCCUGCCCCAUGUCCUGUGCAGCUGCAAACCCCACUCCAGAGCCUGGCAGCUGUGCCAUAAUGCCAUCCAGAACUGCCUGGUGAAAGCCAUCGCACCACGCCUGGGAGAGAUCUCCGUGAACUGCACCAUCCCCGGUACCGGCAGCCAGCUGCAACCUGAUGUCGUUAUCACCGACGAGGCCCAGAAAAAGAUCGUCCUCGUCAUUGUCACGGUCUCCUUUGAGAAUAGAACCCCGGCCUUUCGUGAAACCCGAACUUGUAAGCUGGAAAAGUACGCCCCCUGAGAGCGAAGGGCUCUGAAGUGAAGAUGGAUGCCCUGAUCGUCAGAGCCCUGGGCGCCUGGGACCCCUGUAAUGAGCAUGUGCUGCAGACCUGCGGGAUCGGUCAACGCUAUGCACGGCUCAUGUGGCACCUCAUGGUCUCAGACACCAUCCAAUGGUCCAGGGACAUCUACAUCGAACACGUCACCGGCCACCGACAGUACCAGGAGGCAUGAGCCGGAGUGCCAUCAUUCUUCGACUACGAGAAAGGGACCAAGAGACUUUGUCCGCUGGACCAUAUGAACUGGAACCAUAAACUCACUGAACGUUAAAUCUCACCAAAUGAGGAUCAACCCAUCCUCAUCAUCGUAUCCACUCAUUAUACUUCACACCCGAAUUUAGCCAUUAUAUGAACAUCAUACUGUCAUAUCUCAAUGUUUGUACUUUGACCUGUCAACCAUUUACCCCCAAUUGGGGAUAUUGCAGAUUAUGUAUUCCUUACGCCAACCGAUCUUAAACUGAACUUCGCACCCCUUGAUAAUCUGUACGUUAUUCCCUGAUAACCAGAAACUUCUAUGCUUAAACUCUGUACUGUUCACUUUUUCUAAACGUCAUCUUAAUAAAAAUUUUAUUUCUACUUU
Chrysemys picta bellii (western painted turtle) is the source of this 1373-nucleotide long non-coding RNA. RefSeq lists it as uncharacterized. Lineage: Eukaryota; Metazoa; Chordata; Testudines; Emydidae. The record is from RefSeq and is a predicted model, not a curated record.